RNAcentral lists this ribosomal RNA (453 nucleotides) under uncultured bacterium. Its description in RNAcentral is "bacterial SSU rRNA". It matches the Rfam family "Bacterial small subunit ribosomal RNA", at positions 340 to 786 of the family's 1533-position model. The record is from RNAcentral.
UACGGGAGGCAGCAGUGGGGAAUAUUGCACAAUGGGCGCAAGCCUGAUGCAGCCAUGCCGCGUGUAUGAAGAAGGCCUUCGGGUUGUAAAGUACUUUCAGUCGUGAGGAAGGUGUUAAGGUUAAUAACCUUAGCAAUUGACGUUAGCGACAGAAGAAGCACCGGCUAACUCCGUGCCAGCAGCCGCGGUAAUACGGAGGGUGCGAGCGUUAAUCGGAAUUACUGGGCGUAAAGGGCACGCAGGUGGUUAAUUAAGUUGGAUGUGAAAUCCCCGGGCUUAACCUGGGAAUGGCAUUCAAGACUGGUUAGCUAGAGUCUUGUAGAGGGGGUAGAAUUCCAUGUGUAGCGGUGAAAUGCGUAGAGAUGUGGAGGAAUACCGGUGGCGAAGGCGGCCCCUGGACAAAGACUGACGCUCAUGUGCGAAAGCGUGGGGAGCAAACAGGGAUUAGAUACC